This 52-nucleotide microRNA precursor is filed under the name Otolemur garnettii (small-eared galago). RNAcentral's name for it is "mir-1302 microRNA precursor family". It matches the Rfam family "mir-1302 microRNA precursor family". Lineage: Eukaryota; Metazoa; Chordata; Mammalia; Primates; Galagidae. The record is from Rfam by way of RNAcentral.
UUUUUAGUAUAAAUAUGUCCCAUGCAAUACUUGUGACAUUCUUAUACUAAAA